UGAUAUGUUUGAUAUAUUAGGUU
Molecule: non-coding RNA, 23 nt
Filed under: Ictalurus punctatus (channel catfish)
Lineage: Eukaryota; Metazoa; Chordata; Actinopteri; Siluriformes; Ictaluridae
Also listed under: 11 other names
Gene: ipu-miR-190a
Source: miRBase by way of RNAcentral